RNAcentral lists this ribosomal RNA (406 nucleotides) under uncultured bacterium. RNAcentral describes it as "partial 16S ribosomal RNA". It matches the Rfam family "Bacterial small subunit ribosomal RNA", at positions 30 to 526 of the family's 1533-position model. The record is from RNAcentral.
AUUGAACGCUGGCGGCAGGCCUAACACAUGCAAGUCGAACGAGUGGCGGACGGGUGAGUAAUGUCUGGGCAACUGCCCGAUGGAGGGGGAUAACUACUGGAAACUGUUGCUACUACCGCAUACCAUCGGAUGUGCCCAGGUGGGAUUAGCUAGGAGGUGGGGGAACCGCUCACCUAGGCGACGAUCCCUAGCUGGUCUGAGAGGAUGACCAGCCACACUGGAACUGAGAGACGGUCCAGACUCCUACGGGAGGCAGCAGUGGGGAAUAUUGCACAAUGGGCGAAAGCCUGAUCCAGCCAUGCCGCGUGUAUGAAGAAGGUCUUCGGAUUGUAAAGUACUUUAAGCGAGGAGGCGUUACUCGCAGAAGAAGCACCGGCUAACUCCGUGCCAGCCGCCGCGGUAAUUC